GGGAUCGUGGUCUAGCUUGGUAUGAUUCCAGUCUGGGGGGCUGGAGGUCGCAGGUUCAAUUCCUGCCGGUCCCA
Molecule: transfer RNA, 74 nt
Filed under: Candidatus Nitrosopelagicus sp.
Lineage: Archaea; Thermoproteati; Nitrososphaerota
Description: tRNA-Pro
Rfam family: tRNA
About the family: Transfer RNA (tRNA) molecules are approximately 80 nucleotides in length. Their secondary structure includes four short double-helical elements and three loops (D, anti-codon, and T loops). Further hydrogen bonds mediate the characteristic L-shaped molecular structure. tRNAs have two regions of fundamental functional importance: the anti-codon, which is responsible for specific mRNA codon recognition, and the 3' end, to which the tRNAs corresponding amino acid is attached (by aminoacyl-tRNA synthetases). tRNAs cope with the degeneracy of the genetic code in two manners: having more than one tRNA (with a specific anti-codon) for a particular amino acid; and 'wobble' base-pairing, i.e. permitting non-standard base-pairing at the 3rd anti-codon position.
Source: RNAcentral